RNAcentral lists this ribosomal RNA (776 nucleotides) under uncultured Neocallimastigales. RNAcentral's name for it is "partial large subunit ribosomal RNA". It matches the Rfam family "Eukaryotic large subunit ribosomal RNA", at positions 23 to 616 of the family's 3401-position model. Lineage: Eukaryota; Fungi; Neocallimastigomycota; Neocallimastigomycetes; Neocallimastigales. The record is from RNAcentral.
GAGAGAGAGACAUGCGCGCAUAUCAAUAAGCGGAGGAAAAGAAACUAACAAGGAUUCCCCUUAGUAACGGCGAGUGAAGCGGGAAGAGCUCAAAUUUGAAAUCUUCAAGGGUUUACCUUUACGAAUUGUAGUUUAAAGAAGUGUUUUCUGUUGAGGUUUCGGUAAAAGUUCUUUGGAAUAGGACAUCAUAGAGGGUGAGAAUCCCGUAUUUGACCUUUACUUUCAACUUUGUGAUACACUUUCAAAGAGUCGGAUUGUUUGGGAAUGCAGUCCAAAAUGGGUGGUAAAUCUCAUCUAAAGCUAAAUAUUGGCGAGAGACCGAUAGCGAACAAGUACCGUGAGGGAAAGAUGAAAAGAACUUUGAAAAGAGAAUUAAACAGUACGUGAAAUUGUCAAAAGGGAAGCGUUUGACACCAGUGUUGUUUUUCUGAAAAUCAAUUAAAGAACUGUUUAUGCUAAGUUGUUUAGACUUUAUCAGCUAACUGUUUAGUUUUGAGCUUUUCUUUAAUGCACUUUUCAGUUAACAAGUCAACAUCAAUUUCUUUUGCUGUAAAAAAGCUUGAGGAAGGUGGCUUGAGAUUCGUCUUAAGUGUUUAUAGCCUCUUGCCUAUGCAGUCGGAGAGAUUGAGGUCUGCAGCGUAGAUCCUUCGGGGCUAAAUGCAUUUGUGCUAAGUUAUAGCAUUUUAUAGACAACUUGUUGACUAUGAUUUGUCUUGUAGCUUACUCGCUUAUGUUAUUUUACCUACGCUUAGGAUGUUGAGCGCAUGUCUCUCUCU